CCGGAUUAGUGUCCACAAUCCGUUCCCGCGCUCACAUGCGUUGCCGGUAACGGCGGGGUGUGAAGCUGAGCGUUCAAGCCCAAGAGU
This 87-nucleotide non-coding RNA is filed under the name Streptomyces sp. ADI98-10. The record is from RNAcentral. Lineage: Bacteria; Bacillati; Actinomycetota; Actinomycetes; Kitasatosporales; Streptomycetaceae.